This 385-nucleotide ribosomal RNA is filed under the name uncultured bacterium. Its description in RNAcentral is "bacterial SSU rRNA". It matches the Rfam family "Bacterial small subunit ribosomal RNA", at positions 29 to 417 of the family's 1533-position model. The record is from RNAcentral.
AUUGAACGCUGGCGGCAUGCUUUACACAUGCAAGUCGAACGGUAGACCCUUUCGGGGGUUGAGAGUGGCGAACGGGUGAGUAAUGCAUCGGAACGUGCCCAGUCGUGGGGGAUAACGCAGCGAAAGUUGUGCUAAUACCGCAUACGACCUGAGGGUGAAAGCGGGGGACCGGUAACGGCCUCGCGCGAUUGGAGCGGCCGAUGUCUGAUUAGCUAGUUGGUGGGGUAAAGGCUCACCAAGGCGACGAUCAGUAGCGGGUCUGAGAGGAUGAUCCGCCACACUGGGACUGAGACACGGCCCAGACUCCUACGGGAGGCAGCAGUGGGGAAUUUUGGACAAUGGGGGAAACCCUGAUCCAGCCAUGCCGCGUGCGGGAAGAAGGCCU